This is a long non-coding RNA of Scylla paramamosain (green mud crab), 3226 nucleotides long. RefSeq lists it as uncharacterized. NCBI's taxonomy places the organism in Eukaryota, Metazoa, Arthropoda, Malacostraca, Decapoda, Portunidae. The record is from RefSeq and is a predicted model, not a curated record. The transcript has 2 exons.
GUUUUAAAUCAUAUUGAUAAUUAAGAUCUGUAUAUGUACAUAUACAUUAGAAUGUAAAAAUAGUCAAGUCUGACCCGUUCAUUUCCUGUAAAGCGCAAGUAAACACAGACUUUGUCCAGCCGGGUCGACAUGUUUUAGUAUGGUUUAGAUAGGGUUGCCAUACGUCAGGAAUUCAAGAUUGGAAAAACGGAAUUCAAGAUUAUCAGCCAUAUGCAAAGAUGUGGAUAUGACACACAUCUUCAACAGGGAAUGAGUCUCAUGAGCAAAGAAAUUCUGUAGACUUGCUUGACCAAAUGUUAAACCUUAUAGAACACUUGAUGCACCCAACUAAGGCAGAAGAAAGGUUAGUAAAAUCAACAGCUAUAGUGACAUUAAAUAUAAUACUGUAUUUCAAGUUGACAGCCACAAACUCUGCAUAUCACAACAAUACAUCAAUAUUUUCAGUUAUGAUAACUUUAAUCUUUUGAAUACAUCUUUGUAAAUACUGAUAUUUCAUAAUUUUGAGUUUGCAGAAAGGAAAAAAAAUGAAGAUACAUUUUAUUAGUUUUCUAUAUACUGCCAAUAGCAAUCUGCAGUCAAGAUGGAGUGGUAGCAUUCAAGGCAUGUCUCCUACUGGUGUUCCCGGCAGAGCCUCCCUUUCUUUCCGCAACUUCUUCAACUGUAAACAAAGGAUAAACAUGUAUUAUUAGGUUAAUAAAUUCCUAUAUAGGAAUUGGUUAUAACUGAUUUUAGGAUUACUUUCAUUGUUUCAGCUCUGGAUCUAGAUAAUACAAAACAAAUUAUUAUCACCUCUAAUCUAUCUCAUUACAAGCUACUACUGAAAUAUCAAUACUAUUGGCAUGCAGACAUAAGAAGCUAGAGGGUUUUGUUGCUUAGAUUUAAGCAAGCAAAGUAGCAUACACAUUGUAGGUUUAGUCAUGCAUUCAAAUAAAUAAUACUUAUAAUGGCAUGUCAGAUGCAAUGCCUGCAGUAACUGUUGCAGUAUUUGGAAGAAACUCAAAUCACUUGCAUAAACGUUGUGCAUAGACAAAUGAUGAAUAAUUAAUUCAUCAUUGAUAUCGGCUUUCUAUUCUACAUGGAAUCAAAUAAUGACAAAAAGGAAACAGAUGCCACAGUUUUCUAUUUGUAUAGUUCACUGCUCUGUGAAUGUUUAAAAUACACCCAAGGCUGGUUUUAAGCCUAUUUGACCAAUUUUAUAAAACUGAACCCCGCACCUUAAGGGGCCCAGUGCCAGAGGUGACAGAGUUACUGGUUGAAGCCUUUUCUGUAUUCUAAGAGGAAUAAACCACUACUGAAAAUGUGAAAUGAAGAAUGAGAAAUUAUUAUUCCUCACAUUAUUAAUUUACUAUGCAUACUAUAUUAUUUUGGUUAAAGACGAGCAUACUCUACGAAAUAUAAACAUACAUAAAUUUUUACUUUUGUAAAGUAGGGGCCCCGCCAUCAGUUUUCUAAUUGGCCCCCACAAUUCCUAGCACUGGCCCUGAAUACACCAGUAAUUAUUACUAAUAAAUUUUAUAACAAAGCCUUACUCUAAAUGUUAAGGAUGUUGAAAUAAAAAUAUACAAAAUAGUGCAGAAAUGGUUGAAAUAAUUAUGAUUGUAAUCCUUCAUGUUACAAAACAAGUUAGUAUUCUAGUUUCUUGUCUAAAAUGCACAUAAUUUGGUAAUACUGAUGAAAUACAUGGACUGAGUGCCCAUGUGGCUCCCUAGCUAGUCAGAGUUGCAAGGAUCUUCACUUAAGUAGAAGAGAGAAGAUCUAAAUUUCAUCACUUCACAUUCAAUAUCCUGUUUGUGAUCAUAAAAGUAAGAGUACAAAUAUGAGUUAGGGGGUUUUCUUGAUAUUAAAUUGAUUUCCAAAAGCAAAAUCCCGAAGAAUUUGUUCAGUUUCAACAUUAUAUCUUAUUUCACAUAAAAUGUUUCCCAAAGAACAUGCAUCACAACACUUUUCUGGAUGUAAGCAUAUAUAUUUAGUCAUCUAGUGUAUUUGGUAAGAAAAAUAAAUUUCAUUAAACCUCAUCCUCCUGAAAAUAGUAUAAGUGAACAAUUAGUUAUACACAUUUUUUUUAAAUUUUUUAUGUGUGCAAAUGUUAGCUACAAACUAGGCAACAAUAAAACCCUCAAAUACCAUCUGUUUAAGAAUCCAAACCUAGGAACAUAUAUGUUAUAUCUUAUAAUACUUAUGACAACAAAACCUCGCUAUUAUUAAUUCUUCUUAAGUUUGUCAACUUCAUCAAAUUUUCUACUACUACAGUAGGAUAAACUUUAUUAUUUUCAUAAGUCUCUUGACUAUGAAUGUUAUAAUUACUGAAAGAUUCUUGCUUAAAGCCUCACAUGUAGUACUUGGGGGUUUCACUGUUGAGUGACCAGUUAAGGUAUCUAAACAAGCAUCUAGUUUUAAGAAAGACAUUUCAACAUUAGUUACAUUUUGAACAUAGCUCUUUGCAUUCACAGCCAGUUAUUAGUGAGGUAACUGAUAAGUGUGUAGUGAUUAAGGAAGAGAUUUUGCUUUCUUCCUAUAGCACCUGAAACAGGUUACACUUUCUAAGAUGUCCUUGUAACUCUGGAACUCAGCAUAUGAUAUAACAGUCACCACUUAUGGUGAACAGUGACUGGCUCUUCAGGUGACCCAGGGAGGAGACCCUCCGCACUGGCCUCAAUCUUCUGAAACUGGAACAUUGAGGCAACUUGUCAAAGAAGUUUUAUCUUUUCAGAAACUAUCACCCACUGGAUAUGGCAAGCAUGCAUGUUAUUUCUUUUCCUUGUAUUAAAAAGUCUUCUUUUUUAUGAAGUUAAAGGUCACAAUUCUGUUGUUCCUCAAGGAAGUACAUGUUAAAAUCAGAAGCAGCUAAAGCAAGGCUGAAUAAUUUACAUAAUUGCAGAAAUAUAUCUUGUAAAUUUCUUCUUUCCAUGAAAGAACUGCAGAUAAGCAUAAUUUCAAAAAAAUAUAUAAAUAUGUAUAUAGUUAUCUUCCUGUGUAUAAUGUACAAUAGAUAUUGAACAAUCAAGGUUUUGUUCACUCUUACACCUGCAGUAGAAAAUCAGGCUUUCCUGCAAACUUCUGCAGUGUAAACCAUUUGAGUAUAGCAUUCUAACAACCCAAUUCAGAGAAUACUUGCAUAUGCUUUAUUGAUUUUCUUUUUCUUUUUAACCACCAGCAAAACAACAUUUUUUUCAGCAGCAAAAUUGUAUCUCCCCUUUUGUUACUGAAUAAAGAGACACUGACAUAA